GACGAACGCCGGCGGCGUGCUUAACACAUGCAAGUCGAACGGAAAGGCCCUGCUUUUGUGGGGUGCUCGAGUGGCGAACGGGUGAGUAACACGUGAGUAACCUGCCCUUGACUUUGGGAUAACUUCAGGAAACUGGGGCUAAUACCGGAUAGGAGCUCCUGCUGCAUGGUGGGGGUUGGAAAGUUUCGGCGGUUGGGGAUGGACUCGCGGCUUAUCAGCUUGUUGGUGGGGUAGUGGCUUACCAAGGCUUUGACGGGUAGCCGGCCUGAGAGGGUGACCGGCCACAUUGGGACUGAGGUACGGCCCAGACUCCUACGGGAGGCAGCAGUGGGGAAUAUUGCACAAUGGGCGGAAGCCUGAUGCAGCAACGCCGCGUGCGGGAUGACGGCCUUCGGGUUGUAAACCGCUUUCGCCUGUGACGAAGCGUGAGUGACGGUAAUGGGUAAAGAAGCACCGGCUAACUACGUG
RNAcentral lists this ribosomal RNA (468 nucleotides) under uncultured bacterium. RNAcentral's name for it is "partial 16S ribosomal RNA". It matches the Rfam family "Bacterial small subunit ribosomal RNA", at positions 28 to 507 of the family's 1533-position model. The record is from RNAcentral.